AUGAACGCUGGCGGCGUGCCUAAUACAUGCAAGUCGAGCGAACAGACGAGGAGCUUGCUCCUCUGACGUUAGCGGCGGACGGGUGAGUAACACGUGGAUAACCUACCUAUAAGACUGGGAUAACUUCGGGAAACCGGAGCUAAUACCGGAUAAUAUAUUGAACCGCAUGGUUCAAUAGUGAAAGACGGUUUUGCUGUCACUUAUAGAUGGAUCCGCGCCGCAUUAGCUAGGUGGUAAGGUAACGGCUUACCAAGGCAACGAUGCGUAGCCGACCUGAGAGGGUGAUCGGCCACACUGGAACUGAGACACGGUCCAGACUCCUACGGGAGGCAGCAGUAGGGAAUCUUCCGCAAUGGGCGAAAGCCUGACGGAGCAACGCCGCGUGAGUGAUGAAGGUCUUCGGAUCGUAAAACUCUGUUAUUAGGGAAGAACAAAUGUGUAAGUAACUAUGCACGUCUUGACGGUACCUAAUCAGAAAGCCACGGCUAACUACGUG
RNAcentral lists this ribosomal RNA (496 nucleotides) under uncultured bacterium. RNAcentral's name for it is "partial 16S ribosomal RNA". It matches the Rfam family "Bacterial small subunit ribosomal RNA", at positions 29 to 507 of the family's 1533-position model. The record is from RNAcentral.